Molecule: transfer RNA, 72 nt
Filed under: Bos taurus (domestic cattle)
Lineage: Eukaryota; Metazoa; Chordata; Mammalia; Artiodactyla; Bovidae
Also listed under: 5 other names
Rfam family: tRNA
About the family: Transfer RNA (tRNA) molecules are approximately 80 nucleotides in length. Their secondary structure includes four short double-helical elements and three loops (D, anti-codon, and T loops).
Source: Rfam by way of RNAcentral
UCCCUGGUGGCUCAGAGGUUAAAGAGUCUGCCUGCAAUGCAGGAGACCUGAGUUCAAUCCUUGGGCUGGGAA